GUCCCAACUCACACAGCAGUGGCAGAACCUACUACGCCUGAGCAACAGGCUGGACAUGACACGGAGCUGAGGAUGGGACAACUAAGUUUCUCAGCCGUUUGGUUCCCAAAACUUCCCCUCCCCCAGAGACCACCUGAAAAUUGCCGAGAGCCUUGGUGAGCCAUAGUUAAUCUUUCUGCCUGUUGCACCCAUUGCAAUAAUAAUAAUAAUUAUAAUAAUAAUAGUAUUUAUACCCCACCCAUCUGGCUGGGUUUUCCCAGCCACUCUGGGCGGCUUCCAAUCAAGUGUUAAAAACAAUACAGCAUUAAAUAUUAAAAAUUUCCCUAAACAGGGCUGCCUUCAGAUGUCUUUUAAAAAUAGAAUAGCUGCUUAUUUCCUUCACAUCUGAAGGGAGGGUGUUCCACAGGGCGGGCGCCACCACCGAGAAGGCCUUCUGCCUGGUUCCCUGUAACCUCACUUCUUGCCAUGAGGGAGUAUUUUGCAAUGUGUUGUGCUACGUGCUGUACGGUUUUUUAUUGAACUUUUGCAGACAGACCACAGACCACUCAGAUGAACUCUUGGGCCACUGCUUUGGGAGCCCCUCUUCUAAGAAACAAGCCAGGUGGAAGAGAGACCCUCUCUGUGAUCUGCUGGAAAACCUGCAUGGAACCCAGCCCAAGAAUACCAAGAGAGGUGUGCAUUUUACACAAACGGCAAGUGUGCGUUGACUCUUAAAAGUACCAGGGCAGCACAGCUGGUCUUCCCCUUGAAAGCCACCCCCCCAACAGAGUAUAGUGUAGUGUUAGUGUAUUCCACUAACAGAGAGACCAUCAUCCCACUUCUCUAAGUGGGUGCUUGUAAAAUGCGAAGGUUGUAAUUCAGUUUGAGACCCAAGGAGGAGUCCCUUUGAAUUCCUGUAAUCCAGUUUGACAGGCCUCACCUCAUUCAGCUGGUGUACUUUUUGCCGACAAGAACUUCUUGCGUCUUGGCGAACCCCUCCGCCUCCACCUUGGCUCAGCCGUUUUAUCUCCAAGCCACAGAGAAAAUGGGUGGGGUGGGGUGGGGUGGGGUGGGAGGUGGCCUUCCUGGUUCCUGUGCGCAGAAGCCCCCGCUCUGGGCUCUGAAGCAGGGUCAGCCUUGGCGGAGCUGUGAAGCCAUGGCCAGAUGCAAGACCACAGAUGGCACCUGGCAGGGACUGCCCCCCCCCCACUGAAGCUGGGAGAAGCCCUCUUGGAUGAAAAGGAUAAGGAAUGGUCAUGAGAUGCCUGGAUUGAACCCUGGGAAAACUCAGCUAGCAGUGAGAGGAAGAACUGGACACCCCAUGGGAUUAUCGGGAGGAAUCUUGCAGUUACGACUGACAGGCAGAGAGCUGGAAGUCACUUUUAUUCAUCUCUCUCUCUUGCUUUAUUCUGUUAUUGUUCUUAUUCCUUUGCUCUUAUCCAUCACUUUCAUUUUUCUAUUUCUUCCUGUUAUUUUAUUACUUCCUUUUAAGACUCUCAAUGGAUUUUGGAAAGAAUUGCAUGCAGGUGAAGAUGAUGGAAAGCUGGUGAAGGACCCCCGUAUGAGAGGCAAGGAAGGGGAGAUUUCCCGGGGGGGGGGAGGCUGGGGGAAGGAAGGGCUGCCCCCAGGUGAGAGCUGGGAGGGCACACCCUUCCCUCUAUGAGAGAAAAGUUAGCAUAUAUCAGUGAGAGGGG
This 1673-nucleotide long non-coding RNA is filed under the name Podarcis lilfordi (Lilford's wall lizard). Lineage: Eukaryota; Metazoa; Chordata; Lepidosauria; Squamata; Lacertidae. The record is from RNAcentral.